GUGGGAGAGAGGCUGUAGGAGUACAUAGAUACACCAUUAGAAGUUCGAGGUAGGUUCCAGUAAUGCGGUUUACACCUCGUUGGGUACUGCCACGGUCUCGGUCAUUCGGCUGACUGGACGCCUACCUAAAACACCACACACUCACGCCUGCAAUAGUUUUCCUUUAUUGUGAUUUAAGCACCACUUGGAGUUUGGGUAUGUCACUGCAGCCCAUCACCUCCUGCCAGUCCUGCCCUCGCGCGCACGAUUACCAAGGCGGCUCAGUUGGUGAAGUAAUGGAGGGGGAGACGCUUCCUGCGUUGGUGUGUGUGUGUGUCCGCGUCGACCUUGCGAGGGUGUAGCAACGCCCACAAGGAAGGAAGAAGCAGAACAAAAAAAAAAUAACUACAUUACCAGGACAAAAUCUAAUUAACCAACUCACACCUGGAAAUAAAUGGAGAGGGUUUUUAUCGAUGUCUUAUGAGCUGAAAUAUGAACAAAGAAAAAAAAGUGUGCUGAGCGUUUCUCCCGCUAGCACUAAACGGCAACAGAAGCGAUGCAGGACAACCUCCCUUCGCGACCAUUAAUCUUCCCAGCACGGAAUCCAAGCGGGAAAUCAGCAUCCGCGUGCCUGUUUCGCCUCCACCGGUGCCUUGCCUCAGCAGUGUUCGCGGGCCCGUAGUGUCCUUCAGUUGAGUAAUUAAUGUCAAGUGCAUCCCUGCGAACCGCCAGUGGUGUGUGACAUUGCUCCCGCGACGAGCACUUCAGCGCAGGGACAAGCACGGAGGACGGAACUGUGUGUGUGUGUGUGUGUGUGUGUGUGUGUUACAGUAGUAAACCUAGGUAUCUUGCGUCACUUAUUUACCCUCCAAGUGCCAGAGCCUGUAAAAGAAGUAGUAGUAGUAGUAGUAGUAGUAGUAGCAGUAGUAGCAGUCCUCGUAAUGGUAGUGAUAGUGGAGAGAGAGAGAGAGAGAGAGAGAGAGAGAGAGAGAGAGAGAGAGAGAGAGAGAGAGAGAGAGAGAGAGAGAGAGAGAGAGAGAGAGAGAGAGAGACACGUACUCAUUAACCUGAAGUAAGAGCACUGCGGCAGGACACCUUUAGCGGGGGGUGGGAGGGGGCGCCGAGGGUACCUGGGUUAUUACUCUCCGGGACCAGGACACGUCGCGCCUGACACUCGCUUUGCCUUCUGGCGGCGCCGCGCUGGAUGCGUCAGAGCGGGAAGCAUAAUAUUACGGAUCUUCCCAUGUGGGGAGAGUGACACCUCACAAAAAAUCUCCCUGUCGUACUUUGUCAAAUUAACUCAGAUUUUUCCAUGCAUUCUUUAAUUAAAUGAAUCGUUUUAAUCUGCUAUUUACUUAAUUUUUUUUUGUUUGUUUUUUGCGACAUUGUACGAGGCGGAAAAAUGUUUGAUUUAUUAAAAUUCGUGUUUAUUUCUAUAUAAAAAGUGUCUGUUGGUAGAAAAUUUACUCGAAGUGAGAGAAAAAAAAAUACGGUGUUUUAAGAAGCAUGUAUAACUAAGAUGAUGAUUAGUUUGCGGUAAAACACACACACACACACACACACAUACACACACACACACACACACACACACCACCACACAAAAAAGCCAAGAAUGAUAAGACAGCAAAAGGAGGAGGAGGAGAAUAAGAAUGAGAAAAGAAAAGAAAAAAAAACGAAAGACGAAAGAGGACAUAGAAACGGCUCUGAGGAAAGUGAAGGACGAUGGCUGAAGAAGAUAAAGAAAUGGGAACGAAUGAAAUGGAAGUGAAAAGCAGAGGAUGGAGGAAAAUUGGAGCUGCAGGACGAUAUGUGUGGAUGGGAUGGAUGAUACAUGGCAAGGAAAGGACGAGGCGAGGGAGCAUUGGGUGUCUGCAGAAUGUUUUGCGCUAUCAUUCUGUUUAGGCUUUAUGGAAAUGGCUCAAUUGGUUUACCUCCCGUCACACGUCAUUAUUUUAAAAGGCACUCGCUUUAUUGCCAUGUUUUAUUAACUUCUUUCCAUCUGACGUAAGCAGGGAAGUGUUGACUGUCUUUCGGUUCUGCGUAUGAUAUGAACCUAACAGUCUUCGCGUUCUGGAUGAAAAGGAAAUAUUAACGACUUAGAUCACGUAGGUUGGCUCUGUUAUCUGACGCCUCGUACUUGCACCGAAAAAUCCACGGAGAUUACAUGUAUAUUUUAUUAAUUACUACAGGAAAAAAAAUGUAUGAAAAUGCUUUGAAAGUAGUGGACUAAUAGGAGUACGAUUUCCGGGAGAGGAAGCAAGAGCCACAGGGGAAGAAACAUAUUUCUGUUGGAAUAUGUGGUGAACUGAGGAGCAGAUUUGCAUGAGCGAUGCGACGCAGAAAAUGCGCCUCGUCAUCACAAGUUUUACCGGUGAGCAAAGGCGGCAAGCAGGACUCAGGGGCGGGCAGGCUUGGUGAUCCCUAGGGCGUAUAAUUGCAGCCUAAAAUUUCCCUUUUGAUAGCAGCAACCCGCAGAUUUCCACUUUUUGGUUAGGGGUAAAAAUGAUCCUUGGUGUAGAUAAAACCGGACGUGUGUGUUGCGUCCGACCAUUGCUGGGGACGGCCCGCUUCGAUGGGAGUGCAGAAUAAACACUAUCUACACUAUCUACCCCUUCAGUCCUUUUUGAUGCGAAAUGGUGAUGGUGCUCCCCACGACCUGACCGCCGCCCUCGAUGCCUGGCGGUACUUGGAGCAGCGAAUUGUGCCUUCCCUCUCAAGCCUGACGUCUGCCGCGCCACCUUCACGUCGUCAGAGUUGAUAAGUGACAUUGAAGGCCCUCCACUACAUUAGUUGAUAAGACUUUAUUCUGAAACACUUCGGCGCCGCAUUUCAACCUCUUUUAACGAACUCUAGUUGAAGUUACAUGCGUUUUCAAGUGUGUUUUUAUGGUCUUAGUGACAGAUGAACAAGACUUCUGCGUUAUUAACAGGAGAAACACUCUUGAGAACUUAAUUAGUUAUCCCUGUCGCCUUUUAAAAUAGUGGUGAUGAGAGAACAAAGUAAGAAAAAUGCGUUCGCUUGUCUAUUUGUGAAGAAUGAAAGAUGUAUAAAGAAUGUAAUACACGCUGAAGAAAAGAGUUUGCGAUGCGCUGCCAGAAGACUAAAGAAUAUUCAAGCUUGCAAAUUUGAAGACAUUAUUAUCAUCAUCAUCAUCAUGUCAUCAUCCGCCUCCUCAUGCUUCCCUUUCCGCAGUGUCUACGUCUAGCGGCGAGAGCCACGCGACACAGGCAGCGGCAGACACAAGAGGUAUUGCAUUUAGGAUUCAAGUGAUCAAACGCUUCCCCACCCUACCACCACCACCACCACCACCACCACCACCACUUCCAGCAGGCAUAAAUGAAACACGAUAUGCGACUCCACUUCCGCUCCCACUAAUGCCGCUCUGUGUGUGUGUGUGUGUGUGUGUGUGUGUGUGUGUGAGCGUCGCCAGUGAUGCCAAGCCGGAGAGUCACAUAAUAGACCAUACGUUAGGCUGUAAUCUCAGCAGAUGAGGCUCGCCAGCAGAGGCUACACGCGGCCAGCACACCAAACAAUAUAUCAUAAUGUAAUUGCCGCCUCGCCCGCCAAUAACAUCCCUGGGAAUGUGUGUUGUGAACCCUCAUGUCAUAUAAUUCACGUAGUCAAUCCCUGGACGUGGUGCGGUGCGAUCCAAACCCGCCCCCCGCCCUGCACCGUUUUGUUGACAUAAAUGGUGUGGAAACUUUACCGAAAAUUUGAACCAGUGAAUUUAUUUAUUUAUUUAUUUAUUCAUUCGCUAUAUUUAUUCAUUUAUUUAUUUGUUUGUGUGUACUUUUUUUCACGCUGUGGGAGGUAAAAGCUGGUUGGUGCGUUGCUGUAAAAAAAAUAAAUAAAUAUUCCGAUAUUAUUUUAACUAUUUAUGAAUGAAAAAUGUAUGUAUUAGCGGAAUCAUGUGAUAAAAAAAUACCGAAUUAAAAGAACUGGUGACAUUUCCCGCUGCAUUAAGUGAAAUAAAAAUGUCAUCCAAUGAGUUGAAUUGCCGGUGCAGGGUUUAAGAAUAUUCCAGAGAGCACAAACAUGUUCCUGUGAUGGAGGGAGUUUUAUUAUCACUAUUAUUAUUAUUUACACUAUUGAAAGUAAUGGAAGAGAUGAGAGGUGGGUUAAUAGAUAGACAAAUAGAUAGGUUGAUAGAUAGAUAAAUUGAUAGAAGAGAGAGAGAGAGCAUUUUUGUCUAAAGAUUUCAAUAGCAGUUAUUUUUGGUCUGAACACGACGUAAAUUAAUAAAAGUAUAUGCGUAUAUAAUUAUAAAACAUUAACUUUCGUCUCGCCAAUAAGUAAGUUACAAGAAACCCAGAAAUAGUGUUCCGUUCUUUUGCAUUUAUGGUUCUUUCUAUUCUUCUUUGUGUAUGAGAGUGAGUGAGCCUUUUAGCGUGGUUGUGGGGCCGGACGGGCGCGGGCGUGGGCGUGGGCGUGGACGUGGGCGUGGAGAGUGGAGGAUAAACACAGGAGGCGAGGCUUACCUACUUACCGCCGGCAUCCUUGCUCUUAAAACACAAAAUUUCCCACGAGAGUUGUACGUUUUCUGAAAUAACAGCAGAACAUUUUUAUCUUGAUGCCCAAGCCGUGAAUCUCCGUAUGCUGACCUUGUUUUUUUUUUUCUCGCUCUUUCUUUUUUUUUUUUUUUUUUUUUCUGUCUCGCUCUCAACUAAAUCCUGUAAACAUGUUGAAGUUUGCUCGAUCCUAAUGCACCUGGCCGCACUCAGCCGCACUCAGGUGGGUAAGAUCAGAUCCGGUGAGCCGUCCUGCUGCAUCCCAAGCUCCCCUGCAAAAUACGAAGUUGGGUUCAUUUUUGCAGUUUUGAACAACGACUCGUGGAAAAAAAAAAAAAGUCGUUUGGAAUGAGCAACGCAUUCGACUGAAACAUUUUGCCUCGACCCGUAUCCUAAAAAAAAAAAAAAAAAAAAAAGAAAAAAAAAAAGCUUUAUCUUCAUCAACUUGAACACCCUCUAGUGGAAGCUGUUGAGGUUCUCAGUUAUGUUUUCCUAAUCUUAGUGAUGAUUCAAGGCCACUGGGCUAUCAAGGGUAAACAUGAGAAUCCGAGUAAUCAUCUCUGUUAUGUUUGACAUUAGUCCUGAUUAGAGAGCAGGAUUCCACAAGCAUCUUGAUAUGUGUUCUUUUCUGUAUAUUUCCAUCUAAUGCUCCUCAUAAACCUUGAUGUCGCAGUGGCCGUGUGUGUGUGUGUGUGUGUGUGUGUGUGUGUGUGUGUGUGUGUGUGUGUGUGUGUGUGUGUGACUGGGCAACGGUAGUUACAGAGAGAGAGAGAGAGAGAGAGAGAAACCUAACCCAACGUGGUAACACUGCAAGGAAAAUGCAUAACUGGCAAGUCACACCUGCAGAACGUGGCCCAUUCUGCCUGCGGCACUACACAUGCGUCCUUCCUUCCUUCCUUCCUUCCUUCCUUCCUGCCCUUCCCUUCAUUUUCCUUCCCUUCCCUUCCUUCAUACAUACAUCACAGUAUACAUCCUUCCAUCCCCCCGCCUCCCCUUUUUUUUUACUCCCUCUUUUCUUCAUCUGCGUCACCUUCCUUACCCUCACUUGUACUCAACAUUUUUAUCAUCAGAUCUUUUAAAAUCUCCUCCUUUCCCUUGUACCUCUCCUCCCUUUGGUCUUCGUAUCCUCCCGCCUUCACACUCACACACACCCACAAACACACACACACAUACUCUGCUUUGCUCACUCUCUUCUUUCAUUUGUACAUCCAACAAACUUGCGUCAAGAAAAACGCUAAAAGCCGGAUGCAUGUUUGUGCAGAAAAAGAAAGUGUUGAAUGUCAGGAGCGUAAAUUUUAAGGAACGCUUUUAAAUGCAUCCACUAUACUUGUGCAUUUAUUAUUACCGUACUCUCUCUCUCUCUCUCUCUCUCUCUCUCUCUCUCUCUCUCUCUCUCUCUCUCUCUCUCUCUCUCUCUCUCUCUCUCUCUCUGUGCUACACCUGUCUUUUCAGUAUGACACCGCCCUUUCUGUGCUGCUGUCUUCCCCGUUCUCCCCCAACUGCCUUGCCUUCCCUUUCUCCUCUUUCUGCGUCCCUCUUCUUCUCCCUCACCUCAUCCACCCCCUCCUGUCCACCUCGUAGCAAGAACCAAGAGAAUUAUAACGCUGAAAUAUCAUGGCUAGUGUUAAUAUGAAGCACGUGGAGAAAUAUUCAUGCUAACACGUGCGGAAUAUUUACGGAAAGCUGAAAUUUAUGUAAGAGCAACUGAAAAUAUUAAAGUUACAAACCUCGGAAUUAUGAAGGACUGACACAAUAUGAAAUGUAAGUAGAUAAUAUUAAGUUUACUAGCGAGAGUAGAUAAGGAGCAGAGUGUUGUGGUACAGAGUAAUGUAAAAAGGAAGCAGCUAGCAGCAUCCCUACUGGACCUGGGGGCAAAGGGACAGCAAGGUCAAAUGAAGGAACACCGUGUAGCAUAGAAAAACAGUCUGUUAUUGCGUAUCCAUUAUUACGAGUGGUGUUUGUUCGAUAAAUAAUUACCGAGUUGUUAAUGUUAAAACUGUCAUCGCCAUGAAAAAUGUUGAAUACCUCUUGUUUCCUUGCAUUCUACGACUCUAAACAAAACAGACAGCUUCCACAGACGCUCCUCAUACGGCUUGCUUCGUAGUCGUGGGAUUUUUUCAUUAACUUUGUACUCUCUUCAGUUUCUUACAUGAUAAAUGGUUCUAUUGAAAGACAUGAAACCUAUCAGAGCAAUGGGACGAGGAGGAGGAGGAGGAGGAGGAGGAGGAGUUAACCGCUAUGAAAGGAAAUUGUCACCUUAUUAAUGCUAGAUGUAUAGAACCACUAAUUGUAUUAUUAAUGUUUAGUGCUGAGUUGACUGCUCCUUCGGGAGACGCUUGUGAAUCGAAGGUGACCCAUUUACCCACCACCAACUCUGCCUUUUCCUGCGCUACCAGAGUUUAUUAAUUUUAAUGAGGGCAGUGACUAGGGGCAGUCAGGUGAAGCAGUGGCAAGGACGGCGGCUGACUUGCACUCCUAGCCUGCCCUCGCCGAUCCUGCACACUCUGGGGAACUACCGUCCACAGCACACACUCGCCACACAACCACCGCUGCAAGUCGGUGAAUUGUAUUCACAUCGGUCUGUAAUCUAUAAGUAAAGUCUACUAAAUUGUGAGAA
Scylla paramamosain (green mud crab) is the source of this 7104-nucleotide long non-coding RNA. RefSeq lists it as uncharacterized. The transcript has 3 exons. Lineage: Eukaryota; Metazoa; Arthropoda; Malacostraca; Decapoda; Portunidae. The record is from RefSeq and is a predicted model, not a curated record.